This 372-nucleotide ribosomal RNA is filed under the name uncultured organism. Its description in RNAcentral is "bacterial SSU rRNA". It matches the Rfam family "Bacterial small subunit ribosomal RNA", at positions 526 to 896 of the family's 1533-position model. The record is from RNAcentral.
CGGGGGGGCGAAGCGUUGUUCGGAAUUACUGGGCGUAAAGGGCGCGUAGGCGGCUCGCUAAGACGGGUGUGAAAACUCUGGGCUCAACCCAGAGCCUGCACUCGAAACUGACGAGCUAGAGUUCUGGAGGGGAAAGCGGAAUUCCUGGUGUAGCGGUGAAAUGCGUAGAUAUCAGGAGGAACACCGGUGGCGAAGGCGGCUUUCUGGACAGAAACUGACGCUGAGGCGCGAAAGCUAGGGGAGCAAACAGGAUUAGAUACCCUGGUAGUCCUAGCCCUAAACGAUGGAUACUUGCUGUGGGGGGGAUUGAAUCCCUUCGUGGCGAAGCUAACGCAUUAAGUAUCCCGCCUGGGGAGUACGGUCGCAAGGCUG